RNAcentral lists this ribosomal RNA (1376 nucleotides) under uncultured Pelagibacterales bacterium. RNAcentral describes it as "bacterial SSU rRNA". It matches the Rfam family "Bacterial small subunit ribosomal RNA". Lineage: Bacteria; Pseudomonadati; Pseudomonadota; Alphaproteobacteria; Candidatus Pelagibacterales. The record is from RNAcentral.
UAACACAUGCAAGUCGAACGAAGUAGCAAUACUUAGUGGCAGACGGGUGAGUAACAUGUGGGUAUCUGCCCUUUGGCCUGGAAUAACACGAGGAAACUUGUGCUAAUACCGGAUAAGUCUUUGCGGAGAAAGCUUUAUGCACCAUUGGAUGAGCCCGCACUAGAUUAGUUUGUUGGUGGGGUAAUGGCCUACCAAGACUGUGACCUAUAGCUGAUUUGAGAGGAUGAUCAGCCACAUUGGGACUGAGACACGGCCCAAACUCCUACGGGAGGCAGCAGUGGGGAAUCUUGCACAAUGGAGGAAACUCUGAUGCAGUGAUGCCGCGUGAGUGAAGAAGGCCUUUGGGUUGUAAAGCUCUUUCGUCGGGGAAGAAAAUGACUGUACCCGAAUAAGAAGGUCCGGCUAACUUCGUGCCAGCAGCCGCGGUAAUACGAAGGGACCUAGCGUAGUUCGGAUUUACUGGGCUUAAAGAGUUCGUAGGUGGUUGAAAAAGUUGGUGGUGAAAUCCCAGAGCUUAACUCUGGAACUGCCAUCAAAACUUUUCAGCUAAAGUAUGAUAGAGGAAAGCAGAAUUUCUAGUGUAGAGGUGAAAUUCGUAGAUAUUAGAAAGAAUACCAAUUGCGAAGGCAGCUUUCUGGAUCAUUACUGACACUGAGGAACGAAAGCAUGGGUAGCGAAGAGGAUUAGAUACCCUCGUAGUCCAUGCCGUAAACGAUGUGUGUUAGACGUUGGAAAUUUAUUUUCAGUGUCGCAGCGAAAGCGAUAAACACACCGCCUGGGGAGUACGACCGCAAGGUUAAAACUCAAAUGAAUUGACGGGGACCCGCACAAGUAGUGGAGCAUGUGGUUUAAUUCGAAGAUACGCGCAGAACCUUACCAACACUUGACAUGUUCGUCGCGACUCUAAGAGAUUAGAGUUUUCGGUUCGGCCGGACGAAACACAGGUGCUGCAUGGCUGUCGUCAGCUCGUGUCGUGAGAUGUUGGGUUAAGUCCCGCAACGAGCGCAACCCUCACUUUUAGUUGCCAUCAUUAAGUUGGGCACUCUGAAAGAACUGCCAGUGAUAAGCUGGAGGAAGGUGGGGAUGACGUCAAGUCCUCAUGGCCCUUACGUGUUGGGCUACACACGUGCUACAAUGGUAUCUACAACAGGAAGCAAGACUGCGAAGUUUAGCAGAUCCCUAAAAGAUACCUCAGUUCGGAUUGCACUCUGCAACUCGAGUGCAUGAAGCUGGAAUUACUAGUAAUCGUGGAUCAGCGUGCCACGGUGAAUGCGUUCCCGGGUCUUGUACACACCGCCCGUCACACCAUGGGAGUUGGUUCUACCUUAAGGCAAGGUUUCAAACCCUUGACCACGGUAUAGUCGGCGACUGGGGUG